RNAcentral lists this ribosomal RNA (765 nucleotides) under uncultured bacterium. RNAcentral describes it as "bacterial SSU rRNA". It matches the Rfam family "Bacterial small subunit ribosomal RNA", at positions 8 to 796 of the family's 1533-position model. The record is from RNAcentral.
AGAGUUUGAUCCUGGCUCAGAGCGAACGCUGGCGGCAUGCCUAACACAUGCAAGUCGCACGGUCGGGGGCAACCUUGGCAGUGGCGGACGGGUGAGGAACGCGUAGGGAUCUAUCCAUGGGUGGGGGACAACCGCGGGAAACUGCGGCUAAUACCGCAUGACGAGCGUGCUUGAGAGAGCAUGUUCCAAAGCUUUCACGAGCGCCUGUGGCGGAGCCUGCGUCCGAUUAGCUAGUUGGUGGGGUAACGGCCUACCAAGGCUUCGAUCGGUAGCUGGUCUGAGAGGAUGAUCAGCCACACUGGGACUGAGACACGGCCCAGACUCCUACGGGAGGCAGCAGUGGGGAAUAUUGGACAAUGGGCGCAAGCCUGAUCCAGCAAUGCCGCGUGGGUGAAGAAGGUCUUCGGAUUGUAAAGCCCUUUCGGCGGGGACGAUGAUGACGGUACCCGCAGAAGAAGCCCCGGCUAACUUCGUGCCAGCAGCCGCGGUAAUACGAAGGGGGCUAGCGUUGCUCGGAAUGACUGGGCGUAAAGGGCGCGUAGGCGGAUCGGAUAGUCAGGCGUGAAAUUCCUGGGCUCAACCUGGGGGGCUGCGCUUGAUACGUUUGGUCUAGAGUGGGGAAGAGGGUCGUGGAAUUCCCAGUGUAGAGGUGAAAUUCGUAGAUAUUGGGAAGAACACCGGUGGCGAAGGCGGCGACCUGGUCCUUGACUGACGCUGAGGCGCGAAAGCGUGGGGAGCAAACAGGAUUAGAUACCCUCGUAGUCC